GAGUUUGAUCGUGGCUCAGAUUGAACGCUGGCGGCAUGCCUUACACAUGCAAGUCGAACGGCAGCACGGGAGCUUGCUCCUGGUGGCGAGUGGCGAACGGGUGAGUAAUGCAUCGGAACGUAUCCUGGAGUGGGGGAUAACGUAGCGAAAGUUACGCUAAUACCGCAUAUUCUGUGAGCAGGAAAGCGGGGACCUUCGGGCCUCGCGCUCUU
RNAcentral lists this ribosomal RNA (212 nucleotides) under bacterium enrichment culture clone ALO1_GLFRUDD03G5JCS. Its description in RNAcentral is "partial 16S ribosomal RNA". It matches the Rfam family "Bacterial small subunit ribosomal RNA", at positions 9 to 222 of the family's 1533-position model. The record is from RNAcentral.